This 19-nucleotide ribosomal RNA is filed under the name Pseudomuriella schumacherensis. RNAcentral describes it as "partial 18S small subunit ribosomal RNA". The record is from RNAcentral. Lineage: Eukaryota; Viridiplantae; Chlorophyta; Chlorophyceae; Sphaeropleales; Pseudomuriellaceae.
AGUGAACCUGCGGAGGAUC